This 464-nucleotide ribosomal RNA is filed under the name uncultured bacterium. Its description in RNAcentral is "partial 16S ribosomal RNA". It matches the Rfam family "Bacterial small subunit ribosomal RNA", at positions 339 to 795 of the family's 1533-position model. The record is from RNAcentral.
CUACGGGUCGCUGCAGUGGGGAAUAUUGCACAAUGGGCGCAAGCCUGAUGCAGCCAUGCCGCGUGUAUGAAGAAGGCCUUCGGGUUGUAAAGUACUUUCAGCGGGGAGGAAGGGAGUAAAGUUAAUACCCUUGCUCAUUGACGUUACCCGCAGAAGAAGCACCGGCUAACUCCGUGCUAGCAGCCGCGGUAAUACGGAGGGUGCAAGCGUUAAUCGGAAUUACUGGGCGUAAAGCGCACGCAGGCGGUUUGUUAAGUCAGAUGUGAAAUCCCCGGGCUCAACCUGGGAACUGCAUCUGAUACUGGCAAGCUUGAGUCUCGUAGAGGGGGGUAGAAUUCCAGGUGUAGCGGUGAAAUGCGUAGAGAUCUGGAGGAAUACCGGUGGCGAAGGCGGCCCCCUGGACGAAGACUGACGCUCAGGUGCGAAAGCGUAGGGAGCAAACAGGAUUAGAUACCCUCGUAGUC